UGUUCUCAUUUAUUGAUUUUAUCUUGGUUACUUUUUCUUCGAUGGUAAACCUGCACGAUGACGAUAACGCUGCGGAAAAACGAAGUUAACGACUUAUGCCGAUAAUUAAAUCAGGUAUAACAAAUCGAUGAAACAAAUCUUACCGUGAGAUAAUAUUAUAAUUGCUAUAACCAAUUUAGUGGUCAGAAUUGAAAAAAGAAGCCGGCCACUGCAGAUCGACGCGUGGCUUACAAUUAGUGGGUGUAUUUCUUGAGUGAAAGUUGAUACGUGUGUACGACGUAUAUGCCCUAAUGUGGGUAUUCUUCAAAAAAUGAAUACCAGAGUUUUGUCAAAAGCGAAACUCAAGAACUUCGGUAAAUUAUGAAACUAUAUCGGGUGUUCUGACAAUAAGGCCGACGAACGUGCAAUCUCGAAUCAUAAGUUAUUCGUUUCGAGUAAUCUCGAUGUUCUAUAGGAGACUCGACGUAGACUUAAAAAUGAAUUUUCUUAUUGUUGGUUGGGAAAUUAUAAAAUAAUUAAAUACACGAGUGAAUCGUUACGAAAGGGCAAGAAUCUCUCUUGGUUUUCUCGAGUACCAGGAAACGCAGUGGGAUCAUUGUCUCACAUUCCUUAUAAGAAUUAGCACAUACACUUAUAUCCAACCGACAAUGAGAAUGAGACUUGAGAUUCAAUCACGAUCAGAUAUCCUUGAAUAAAUAAAUGAGAUAGCGGUAUAAGGAGUUUCAAUUAUACAUCGCGUAAAAGAAGAGAGAACCCCUCAAAGAACUCGCAUAUAAUCCGUUCGAUUUUCCGAUCAAAUAUAUACAAAGAUAUUAUAUCAGCUGUUCAGCAAAUUACGUCUACGAGACGACGAGAUACGAGCACGUCUCUGUAUAAUCAGAGAAUUUACGUACAUUCAUUUGAUUUGCAUUCAAUUAUUCUUUAAACUCAUAACGUCAACCGGAUGCAGAUUUCAGCUGUAUAUACGGAUAUUCAGUAGAGUUACUCAACCCGAUAACUGGAAAUACCUGAUACCGUGCAGUACGCUUCGCAAAAAUUAUACCUGUGUAAGGAAAAUUGAAAAAAAAAAAAAAAAAAAAAAACAGGAAAAAUAAGUCUGUUCUCAAUGCAAAAUCGUAAGCUCUUUGUGAAAUAAAUUCUGAAUACUUCACAGAUACGUUUUCCGGAUUUUGAUAUCUUGAUUGUUAUCCUUUUUUUUUGCACGGUAGAUUUCGAGAUCACCACCCGGUAGACGCCAGUAUAGUUGGCUAUUUUACACGUGUAGAUCGGUCGUGGGUUAAACCGCAGCAAGUUCGCCCAUACGAUUAAACGUGUUUGUAAGUAUGAUUCGUACCUAUAAUCAGGUAGGAAGGGAGAAAUAUGUGGCACUGUGGAUGUGAAAGACGCGUAACACCUAUACGAGAGUAAAGAAUAAAAAAAAAGCAGCAGCUAUACGUGCUAUUAGCAAACCCUCUCCUUUCUUGGCGACUUCUCUGAGUCAUUCUACGGCGUUGAUUUUAAACGAGUAGACCAAAUGGAUGAAAUAAAACAACGACAAUUUCGAUGAACGUUCUUUAAACGGGUUUGAGGCAUCGACAGAUUUGAACGAAAUGGAAACGCUCGUUAUUUUUUAGAGGCUCGCCCGAAAAUUUUUAACCGUCAAUUCAAAAUAGCCGCUACUCUUUAAUUUUUCACCGAAAAUCUCUCUCACUCGUUCGGCGCUACGCCAGCGAUAAUUGAUUUAAGUUUUUACGUAUUUUACAUGAGAGAUACGAUGGAUAUACGUGAUAUGCUUUGUAUUUGAAAUAGAAGAGCUCAAGCUAGUUUUCAUACUGCAAAUUGUAACCAACUAACUAUACUAUGUAACGAUGUGAUGCACCUUCAUAAUCAUCUACGCGCUAUUGUUGAAGAGAACUAUUGAUUUAGGCGCGGCACUUGCUGCGAUGAUCAUCAUCAUCGUCACAAGACGAUUUUUUUUCUACGAAUUAAACCCACAAUCAAGAACGGAGUUUACAGAAUUUGAAUUAAAAUGUAGAUGUGAUUCAGAGGAUUAUGUCUACAUAUGAUAUUUAUCGUGGUAUAAAUGACGAGAAUAGAUCUAAUCAACGACUUCCAUCGUGAUAUGUUAUCAUGAUCCAAAUUCGAGGGCAAACUAACGCGGAUUCUGUAUACGAUGUAAACAAACAUAAAGCUGAAGUUCAUAACGCUGUAAUAUAAAGUAAUGCGAUAAAGAAGGAUUACUUCACAGCUGUCAGUCGUUAGAACUGUCAGAAGCAAAAUUCGCGGUAGCGAAGAAUCAUCUCUUAUCAUUCGGAGAAAAUUCAAGGCUUUUCUUUACUCGUUAGUAAGGUGAUUUAACGGAAGCGAUAUUGUCAAAACGAGUGUACAUUUCUAUGUAUGCUUACAGACAUGGGAAUGACACUGACAACGUACGUAAUUGUAAAUCGCACAUACAUAAAAAAUAUUAUACGUGUGCAGAGCAUAUGACACUACAUCGGGAUGACAUUUCUCCGGUCUCUUAGAAGAAAUUUGAACAUGUGGGACUAUACGAUUGAAGAGAAGAAAAUUUGAGCAAAAACUACGAGAGAGGCAAAACAUGUCCGAAAUUUUUAUAUGGCUGGUAGCCAAAUGUUUCGAAUAUUUGUGAUUAUUUGUCUGUUACGUUUUCUGUACCGUCCAUAUGCAUAAUCCCUCUCUGUAAUUUUAGGCAUCGUUAAAUUCGUGCUCGGCGAAUAUUUGCCAGGCUCUUAAAAAUAGUGACAAAAUGAAACGUGUGAUGAAAAUUGAAAAAAAAAUAAAUGUAUCAAUUAUAAAAAAACCACAUAUCUUUCAUCGUGGCGGGAACUGAGACUCGAGUGGGGGUCUUGAGACAAAGAUGAUUUCCAAUGUUUUUAUGAUAUUAAAAUGAAAAAAUGUGGUUUUUGUUUAACGAGAAGAUUGAUAAAACGUACUGGAUACUGGAGGAAAUAAAUGUACAUACUCAUGUG
Molecule: long non-coding RNA, 2966 nt
Organism: Athalia rosae (coleseed sawfly)
Lineage: Eukaryota; Metazoa; Arthropoda; Insecta; Hymenoptera; Athaliidae
Exons: 2
Source: RefSeq, a predicted model, not a curated record